UUUAAUGAGAGUUUGAUCCUGGCUCAGGACGAACGCUGGCGGCGUGCCUAAUACAUGCAAGUAGAACGCUGAGGUUUGGUGUUUACACUAGACUGAUGAGUUGCGAACGGGUGAGUAACGCGUAGGUAACCUGCCUCAUAGCGGGGGAUAACUAUUGGAAACGAUAGCUAAUACCGCAUAAGAGUAAUUAACACAUGUUAGUUAUUUAAAAGGAGCAAUUGCUUCACUGUGAGAUGGACCUGCGUUGUAUUAGCUAGUUGGUGAGGUAAAGGCUCACCAAGGCGACGAUACAUAGCCGACCUGAGAGGGUGAUCGGCCACACUGGGACUGAGACACGGCCCAGACUCCUACGGGAGGCAGCAGUAGGGAAUCUUCGGCAAUGGACGGAAG
This 390-nucleotide ribosomal RNA is filed under the name Streptococcus agalactiae MRI Z1-012. Its description in RNAcentral is "bacterial SSU rRNA". It matches the Rfam family "Bacterial small subunit ribosomal RNA", at positions 1 to 381 of the family's 1533-position model. Lineage: Bacteria; Bacillati; Bacillota; Bacilli; Lactobacillales; Streptococcaceae. The record is from RNAcentral.